GACGAACGCUGGCGGCGUGCUUAACACAUGCAAGUCGAACGGAAAGGCCCUGCUUUUGCGGGGUGCUCGAGUGGCGAACGGGUGAGUAACACGUGAGUAACCUGCCCUUGACUUUGGGAUAACUUCAGGAAACUGGGGCUAAUACCGGAUAGGAGCUCCUGCUGCAUGGUGGGGGUUGGAAAGUUUCGGCGGUUGGGGAUGGACUCGCGGCUUAUCAGCUUGUUGGUGGGGUAGUGGCUUACCAAGGCUUUGACGGGUAGCCGGCCUGAGAGGGUGACCGGCCACAUUGGGACUGAGGUACGGCGCAGACUCCUACGGGAGGCAGCAGGGGGGAAUAUUGCACAAUGGGCGGAAGCCUGAUGCAGCAACGCCGCGUGCGGGAUGACGGCCUUCGGGUUGUAAACCGCUUUCGCCUGUGACGAAGCGUGAGUGACGGUAAUGGGUAAAGAAGCACCGGCUAACUACGUG
RNAcentral lists this ribosomal RNA (468 nucleotides) under uncultured bacterium. Its description in RNAcentral is "partial 16S ribosomal RNA". It matches the Rfam family "Bacterial small subunit ribosomal RNA", at positions 28 to 507 of the family's 1533-position model. The record is from RNAcentral.